This 468-nucleotide ribosomal RNA is filed under the name uncultured bacterium. Its description in RNAcentral is "partial 16S ribosomal RNA". It matches the Rfam family "Bacterial small subunit ribosomal RNA", at positions 28 to 507 of the family's 1533-position model. The record is from RNAcentral.
GACGAACGCUGGCGGCGUGCUUAACACAUGCAAGUCGAACGGAAAGGCCCUGCUUUUGUGGGGUGCUCGAGUGGCGAACGGGUGAGUAACACGUGAGUAACCUGCCCUUGACUUUGGGAUAACUUCAGGAAACUGGGGCUAAUACCGGAUAGGAGCUCCUGCUGCAUGGUGGGGGUUGGAAAGUUUCGGCGGUUGGGGAUGGACUCGCGGCUUAUCAGCUUGUUGGUGGGGUAGUGGCUUACCAAGGCUUUGACGGGUAGCCGGCCUGAGAGGGUGACCGGCCACAUUGGGACGGAGGGACGGCCCAGACUCCUACGGGAGGCAGUAGUGGGGAAUAUUGCACAAUGGGCGGAAGCCUGAUGCAGCAACGCCGCGUGCGGGAUGACGGCCUUCGGGUUGUAAACCGCUUUCGCCUGUGACGAAGCGUGAGUGACGGUAAUGGGUAAAGAAGCACCGGCUAACUACGUG